This 915-nucleotide ribosomal RNA is filed under the name uncultured Agaricomycotina. RNAcentral's name for it is "eukaryotic LSU rRNA". The stretch from base 305 to 915 matches the Rfam family "Eukaryotic large subunit ribosomal RNA", at positions 1 to 609 of the family's 3401-position model. The record is from RNAcentral. Lineage: Eukaryota; Fungi; Basidiomycota.
UCAUCGAAUCUUUGAACGCAUCUUGCACUCUUUGGUCUUCCAAAGGGUAUGCCUGUUUGAGUAUCAUUAAUAUAAUCAAUACAAAUCAAAUCAAUCAAAUCUACUUUGAUAAUUUGAUAUGUGUUUGGAUGUUGAAGGUAUGCUGGCUUUGCGGUUAGCUCCUUUUAAAUAAAUUAGCAGAACCAUUUAGGACUGGCUUCAGUUUGAUAAUGAUGAGCCCUUAUCGAUGCUGUUGCUUGUUAUUUUUGUUCAGCUGAUAAUUGUCCUUUUGGACUGUCUUUUAAAGACAUUUAAAUUCUUUAACUGAUCUCAAAUCAGGUAGGAUUACCCGCUGAACUUAAGCAUAUCAAUAAGCGGAGGAAAAGAAACUAACAAGGAUUCCCUUAGUAACUGCGAGUGAAGAGGGAAAAGCUCAAAUUUUAAAUCUGACAGCCUUUGGUUGUCCGAGUUGUAAAUUAGAGAAGCGCUAUCUGUGCUGGCCUGUGCAAAAGUCUCUUGGAAGAGGGCAUCAUAGAGGGUGAUAAUCCCGUCUUUGGCACAGAUCCCAGGGCGUUGUGAUACGCUUUCAAAGAGUCGAGUUGUUUGGGAAUGCAGCUCCAAAUGGGUGGUAAAUUCCAUCUAAAGCUAAAUAUUGGCGAGAAACCGAUAGUGAACAAGUACCGUGAGGGAAAGAUGAAAAGGACUUUGAAAAGAGAGUUAAACAGUGCAUGAAAUUGUUGAAAGGGAAACGCUUAAAGUCAGUCAUAUUCUUCAGAAAUCAACUUGAUUUUUUUGAAUCUUGCUUACUUUCUGUUGAAUGGGUCAGCAUGAAUUUUGACCAUUGGAAAAAGGGAUUGGGAAGGUAGCAUCUUUCAGAUGUGUUAUAGCCCAGUGAACCAAAUACAUUGGUUGGGAUUGAGGAACUCAAGUGUGAAC